UGAGGUAUCAGUGACUCCCAUUUAUAGGUGU
RNAcentral lists this non-coding RNA (31 nucleotides) under Homo sapiens (human). The record is from RNAcentral. Lineage: Eukaryota; Metazoa; Chordata; Mammalia; Primates; Hominidae.